This 428-nucleotide ribosomal RNA is filed under the name uncultured bacterium. Its description in RNAcentral is "bacterial SSU rRNA". It matches the Rfam family "Bacterial small subunit ribosomal RNA", at positions 917 to 1341 of the family's 1533-position model. The record is from RNAcentral.
GGGCUCACACAAGCGGUGGAGGAUGUGGCUUAAUUCGAGGCUACGCGAAGAACCUUACCUAGACUUAACAUGUUUGAGAAUCUCUGUGAAAGCAGAGAGUGCCUUUCGGGGAACUCUUACGUAGGUGCUGCAUGGCUGUCGUCAGCUCGUGUCGUGAGAUGUCGGGUUAAGUCCCUUAACGAGCGAAACCCUUAUCUUCAGUUGCCAGCGAGUAAUGUCGGGGACUCUGGAGAGACUGCCGGUGUUAAACCGGAGGAAGGUGGGGAUGACGUCAAGUCCUCAUGGCCUUUAUGUCUAGGGCUGCACACGUCCUACAAUGCAACGUACAAAGCGACGCGAAAUCGCGAGAUCAAGCAAACCGCACAAAACGUUGCCCAGUUCGGAUUGCAGGCUGAAAUUCGCCUGCAUGAAGCCGGAAUCGCUAGUAA